This 72-nucleotide transfer RNA is filed under the name Potamogale velox. Its description in RNAcentral is "tRNA-Gln". It matches the Rfam family "tRNA". From Rfam's summary of the family: Transfer RNA (tRNA) molecules are approximately 80 nucleotides in length. Their secondary structure includes four short double-helical elements and three loops (D, anti-codon, and T loops). The record is from RNAcentral. Lineage: Eukaryota; Metazoa; Chordata; Mammalia; Afrosoricida; Tenrecidae.
UAGAAUGUGGUGUAAUUGGUAGCACUAAGAAUUUUGAAGUCUUUGGAUUAGGUUCGAGUCCUAAUGUUCUAA